Oryza sativa Japonica Group (Japanese rice) is the source of this 646-nucleotide non-coding RNA. Lineage: Eukaryota; Viridiplantae; Streptophyta; Magnoliopsida; Poales; Poaceae. The record is from RefSeq and is a predicted model, not a curated record.
CAGCAGAAUGAAAGUUAGAGAGUGAUUGGUGCUCAAUGAUCCAUUCUGUUCCGCAACUACCCAAGGCAAGGAGAAGCUACAAGCCCCAUGAGGACUAAGAUGCAGGAAUUAUAGACUAAAGUGAAGGAGAAAUGAGGCCGGCAAGCAAAGAAACACAUCUCCGGCGAAUCACGUGCAAGUUUAUGGAUUGAGUGGCCCACAAGUCAGCUAAAACCGACUCAAAGUGGGGCCAACCACCCUGGAACUGCCUUAGGGGCGCACAAGACAGUCACUGGAGAAAGGUGGUUGCGAGGAGGUGGGACCAAGGGUUCGGUUCGGCCGAACCGCCAUCAGCUCCACUCAUCCUGGCCCUCCACGUUGUGCUCCCACAUUGGCCUCCUAAUGGCAGUUAUGGAGGGUCGGUUGCGAUAACCGUCAUACAAAUCGUCAUUAGGUGGUUAUAAAUGGAGUUCUACUCCUCACUUCACAAUACACACUCAACGAGCAAUUCCCUCUUCCACUUUGUAUUAUCUGUAGUUUCUAGUAGGAAUAAAGCUUAGGAGAUUCGGUAUUAUAGUCUUCUCGGAGUUCUUGGCAUGUCUCUCUUACUUUGUUCUUUGUCUAAGACUAUAGUUGAAUUAAUAGAACUAUCUUCUUUAUUUAUUUA